Molecule: ribosomal RNA, 253 nt
Filed under: uncultured bacterium
Lineage: Bacteria
Description: partial 16S ribosomal RNA
Rfam family: Bacterial small subunit ribosomal RNA
Source: RNAcentral
UACGUAGGUGGCGAGCGUUGUCCGGAUUUACUGGGCGUAAAGGGCGUGCAGGCGGUUUGUUAAGUGCAGGGUGAAAGCUCCCGGCUCAACUGGGAGAGGUCCUUGCAUACUGGCGAACUCGAGGGAGGCAGAGGAAAGUGGAAUUCCCGGUGUAGUGGUGAUAUGCGUAGAUAUCGGGAGGAACACCUGUGGCGAAGGCGAGUCCCUGGACAACUACUGACACUGAGGCACGAAAGCUAGGGGAGCAAACAGG